RNAcentral lists this unclassified non-coding RNA (140 nucleotides) under uncultured fungus. RNAcentral describes it as "sequence contains ITS1, 5.8S rRNA gene". The record is from RNAcentral. Lineage: Eukaryota; Fungi.
AGAGAUUGCCGGCGAGAGCCGGCCCUACAACCACACACACCUGUGAACCGUCCGGAGCCAGCGAACGGGCCUCGGCCCUAAUAGCGUCCGCUUUACAAACGUCUAGAAAUGUCACGAACGUAGUCUUAUUUUAACAAAUA